Molecule: transfer RNA, 73 nt
Filed under: Solirubrobacter ginsenosidimutans
Lineage: Bacteria; Bacillati; Actinomycetota; Thermoleophilia; Solirubrobacterales; Solirubrobacteraceae
Description: Solirubrobacter sp. BXN5-15 tRNA
Rfam family: tRNA
About the family: Transfer RNA (tRNA) molecules are approximately 80 nucleotides in length. Their secondary structure includes four short double-helical elements and three loops (D, anti-codon, and T loops). Further hydrogen bonds mediate the characteristic L-shaped molecular structure. tRNAs have two regions of fundamental functional importance: the anti-codon, which is responsible for specific mRNA codon recognition, and the 3' end, to which the tRNAs corresponding amino acid is attached (by aminoacyl-tRNA synthetases). tRNAs cope with the degeneracy of the genetic code in two manners: having more than one tRNA (with a specific anti-codon) for a particular amino acid; and 'wobble' base-pairing, i.e. permitting non-standard base-pairing at the 3rd anti-codon position.
Source: Rfam by way of RNAcentral
GGGGCUAUAGCUCAGCUGGGAGAGCGCGUGACUGGCAGUCACGAGGUCGACGGUUCGAGCCCGUCUAGCUCCA